This is a long non-coding RNA of Oxyura jamaicensis (ruddy duck), 365 nucleotides long. RefSeq lists it as uncharacterized. The record is from RefSeq and is a predicted model, not a curated record. Lineage: Eukaryota; Metazoa; Chordata; Aves; Anseriformes; Anatidae. The transcript has 3 exons.
UGUCUCUUCUUUUCAGCAAACACAGAAGUGGCAGUGUGGUGCAGAUAGGCGAUGUCGUCUGGGACUGCUCUUGAGCCACGUCCACUCUGCGGCAGCCUCCCACGUGCAGCUGGGUGGCAGAGCAUGGAGUGCUCUGUUUUCCUGCACAGGAAUGGGGGUUUGCAAGUGACCUUAGAGACCACUGGAGCCAUGCCUUGAGAUGAGCUUACUGGGGCCAUAUGUGUCUUUGCCUGUUGAAUGCCUUGAUGCCAGUAAAACAAAACUGUGCAUGAAAAAUGUGGGGCCAAAUAAUCCAGUGGUCUCCCAGCCUUGCAGAGCCUCAGCAGGACAGCAAAGUGAGCAUCCCACCUGCUAGGAGCUUCAGG